Molecule: ribosomal RNA, 478 nt
Filed under: uncultured bacterium
Lineage: Bacteria
Description: partial 16S ribosomal RNA
Rfam family: Bacterial small subunit ribosomal RNA
Source: RNAcentral
GACGAACGCUGGCGGCGUGCUUAACACAUGCAAGUCGAGCGAUGAAGUUCCUUCGGGAAUGGAUUAGCGGCGGACGGGUGAGUAACACGUGGGUAACCUGCCUCAUAGAGGGGAAUAGCCUUCCGAAAGGAAGAUUAAUACCGCAUAAGAUUGUAGUAUCGCAUGAUACAGCAAUUAAAGGAGCAAUCCGCUAUGAGAUGGACCCGCGUCGCAUUAGCUAGUUGGUGAGGUAACGGCGCACCAAGGCGACGAUGCGUAGCCGACCUGAGAGGGUGAUCGGCCACAUUGGGACUGAGACACGGCCCAGACUCCUACGGGAGGCAGCAGUGGGGAAUAUUGCACAAUGGGGGAAACCCUGAUGCAGCAACGCCGCGUGAGUGAUGACGGUCUUCGGAUUGUAAAGCUCUGUCUUCAGGGACGAUAAUGACGGUACCUGAGGAGGAAGCCACGGCUAACUACGUGCCAGCAGCCGCGGUAA